GUCUCCAGAAAAGGAGAAGGGCAGGCAUCCUAGGAAUGUGAACGACAUCAUUCCAUGGGCUGUGGCCCUAGACUGAAUGAAAAAAGAAGAAAAAGAUGCAGACACGGCGUCUCUCUCUGCUCCCUGACACUGGGUACAAUGUGACCAACUGCGCCAAGUUCCUGAUAACACAGCCUUAACUGAAGUCUUCUCCCUGCCAUGCCUCCCCUGCCAUAACAGACCACACUCUGUCAGCCAAGGUCACAAAGAAGAACGUGGAAGAGGAGGCAAAAAGAACCAAAAAGACGGGAUGGAGAAGAGAGCUGUGAAAUGCUUCUGGACAUGUCAUCUCAAAGCAACCAUGGCUAUUGAAGCAAGACCUGCAUAAGAUCAAGCCAGCAAAACUCCGGCGUAGGCGGAAAACAAGUUCUUAAGAUCUUACGUUUUACUGAGAAGCUAUUGACAGUUCAUAGCUUCUGGGAGAGACAAAACCAUCCUUUUAUGAAGUACCAAGUUGAGGCAGAUACAGUGAUGGAAGCCUGUCAGCCCAAGACCUGCCUAGGAGGAAGAAGGUUUUGCCAUGAGUUUGAAGCCAAACUCAGCUCCAUAGAGAGUUAAAUCCAGCUUGGACUCUGGUAUAAAAGGCCCUGUCUACUUGCCAACAGCAAAAAAUAAAUACACAGAUUCCCUGCUCCCAAGUUUAAAGAGAACUAGUCAGUGUUGGGACAAGUGCCAUGUUAGGCUCACAGAAAUGUCAAGAGUGAGCCCAGCCUCUGCAAAUGCGUGACCUGCUGCUGGCAUGUUGAGUUCGGUCUGUUUUCCAGAUGGGGCAUUUGGAACUCAGCAAAGAUAACAGGAUAACCUUAAUGCCUAAUACAGGAAAAAUAGGGAGCUACAGCACUGUUCGUAGGGAGCUAGAGCACUGAGCAUGGGGGUCAGAAGUUCCUGUUUGCUCUUUGGUAUUUAUUCUGUCCAACUUCUGACUGGAUGUAUGCUCCUCAAGAACACGCGUGUCAGAUGCUGAGACUCAGGGCCAAACUGAUCAGAGCUCAGAUGAAUCAUACGGAAGUGAGGGGUGGGAUUAGAGGGACAUGGAGGGGACAGAAGCUCCACAAGGAGACCAACAAAACUAAAAGAUCUGAGCCCAGGGGGUCCUACAGAGACUGAUGUACCAAUGGAAGACCACACAUGGAGAGGACCUAAACCCCCUGCUCAGAUGUGGCUGAUUGGCAGCUCAGUCUCCAUGUGGCUCUCUGAGUGAGGGGAUCAAGUGCUGCCUCUAACAUGAACUCAGUUGACUGCUCUCUGAUCACUCACACCUGAUGAUGCAGCCUUGCCAGGCCAUGGAGGAAGAGGAUUCAAGCAGUCCUGAUGAGACUUGAGUUAUGGGCAGAAAGCAACGAAGGGAACUUCCCCUUUCAAUGGUGAGGGGAAGGAGAUGAGGGAAAGAAGGAAGGAGGGUGGGACUGGGAAGGUUGAGGGAGGAGGCUUCAAUCAAGAUAUAUAAUCAAUAAAUUGUGAAGAAAAAAAUAAAAAAUAAAGAACAUACUUGUAUUGAGAAUUUCCAAAAUGCAAAAGUUUUGCAGGAUUGCAGGAUAGGAAAGGUCUAAUUCUCAUUCUCAUGGCAAUGACAGAAUAAUUUUUAUAAGAAACACACACACACUCACUCAACUAGCUUAUAUAAAAACAAGAUCAGCUCAAGCUUAAGAUUUUUACUACUUACAAGAAGAGCUUGCUGACCCCUGGAUUAGAAUUUCAUUUUACAUCUCUGUCAGUUCCGCCUGCCAUUAUUAGUACAACCAAAUUACUUUAAAAAUUAUCUAUCGUCUGUCUAUCUAUCUAUCUAUCUAUCUAUCUAUCUAUCUAUCUACUUAUCUGUGGCCACUUAAAAGUCCAGAUAUAUCUUGUGUUUUGCUCGA
Meriones unguiculatus (Mongolian gerbil) is the source of this 1898-nucleotide long non-coding RNA. RefSeq lists it as uncharacterized. The transcript has 3 exons. Lineage: Eukaryota; Metazoa; Chordata; Mammalia; Rodentia; Muridae. The record is from RefSeq and is a predicted model, not a curated record.